This 427-nucleotide ribosomal RNA is filed under the name uncultured archaeon. Its description in RNAcentral is "bacterial SSU rRNA". It matches the Rfam family "Archaeal small subunit ribosomal RNA", at positions 474 to 903 of the family's 1478-position model. The record is from RNAcentral.
UACCAGCUCUCCGAGUGGUGUGGAUGUUUAUUGGGCCUAAAGCAUCCGUAGCCGGCUGGACAAGUCCCCUGUUAAAUCCACCGAUUUAAUCGUUGGUGUGCGGGGGAUACUGUUCGGCUAGGGGACGGGAGAGGCCGACGGUAUUUCCGGGGUAGGGUGAAAUCCUAUAAUCCCGGGAAGACCACCAGUGGCGAAGGCUGUCGGCUAGAACGCGCCCGACGGUGAGGGAUGAAAGCUGGGGGAGCGAACCGGAUUAGAUACCCGGGUAGUCCCAGCUGUAAACGAUGCAGGCUAGGUGUUUGGGCGGCCACGUGCCGCUCUAGUGCCGCAAGGAAGCUGUUAAGCCUGCCGCCUGGGGAGUACGGCCGCAAGGCUGAAACUUAAAGGAAUUGGCGGGGAGCACCACAAGGGGUGAAGCUUGCGGUUU